RNAcentral lists this unclassified non-coding RNA (279 nucleotides) under plant metagenome. RNAcentral's name for it is "partial contains small subunit ribosomal RNA, internal transcribed spacer 1, and 5.8S ribosomal RNA". The record is from RNAcentral.
UCUCCGUAGGUGAACCAGCGGAGGGAUCAUUACAGCAAUCUCAAGCCUCCUACAACGCUGUGAACUUAACUAUAAGCACGUUGCUUGGGCGGGUGGCUCGGAGGGGAAUCCCCCUUUCUGAGUCGCUAAACCCAACGGCAGCCUACUAUAUUGUGUCUCUUUUCGCUUGUAUCUCUGGUUGAAUAAAACAAGGUAAAGAUUUCAACAACGGAACACUUGGAUCUGGCAUCGAUGAACAACACAGCAGAGCGGAAGAGCACACUGCUGAACUCCAGUCAC